CGGGUGAGUAACACGUAGACAACUUACCUCUUAGAGGGGGAUAGCCCGCCGAAAGGCGGGGUAAUACCGCGUAUCAUCAAGAAUCGGCAUCGGAUUUUGAUGAAACGUCCGCAAGGACGGCUAGGAGAGGGGUCUGCGGCCUAUCAGCUUGUUGGUGAGGUAACGGCUCACCAAGGCUACGACGGGUAUCCGGCCUGAAAGGGUGAUCGGACACACUGACACUGAGACACGGGUCAG
This 237-nucleotide ribosomal RNA is filed under the name uncultured bacterium. RNAcentral's name for it is "partial 16S ribosomal RNA". It matches the Rfam family "Bacterial small subunit ribosomal RNA", at positions 103 to 334 of the family's 1533-position model. The record is from RNAcentral.